Molecule: unclassified non-coding RNA, 166 nt
Organism: Apteryx haastii (Great spotted kiwi)
Lineage: Eukaryota; Metazoa; Chordata; Aves; Apterygiformes; Apterygidae
Source: Ensembl
GCAACAGCUCUGGAAACUGAACUUCUUCAUUUAUCUGCCGAACAAACAUGGCAUGGGCUGCUGCAGGGCAAACCCUAUCAGCCUGUCUAAGCUUAGUCCUGGUAGGUACAGCUGCCAGGGUGAGAGAGGAGUUGUGUACCCAUAUCUUGUUCAGCACUGGACCUCU